ACACUCGACACCUACGGGAGGCAGCAGUGGGGAAUAUUGCACAAUGGGGGAAACCCUGAUGCAGCGACGCCGCGUGAAGGAAGAAGUAUCUCGGUAUGUAAACUUCUAUCAGCAGGGAAGAAAAUGACGGUACCUGACUAAGAAGCCCCGGCUAACUACGUGUCAGCAGCGCGGUAAUCUGAGCGGGCUGGCAAGGC
RNAcentral lists this ribosomal RNA (197 nucleotides) under uncultured bacterium. RNAcentral describes it as "partial 16S ribosomal RNA". It matches the Rfam family "Bacterial small subunit ribosomal RNA", at positions 328 to 539 of the family's 1533-position model. The record is from RNAcentral.